RNAcentral lists this long non-coding RNA (2326 nucleotides) under Mytilus galloprovincialis (Mediterranean mussel). Lineage: Eukaryota; Metazoa; Mollusca; Bivalvia; Mytilida; Mytilidae. The record is from RNAcentral.
UGUCCAUUCUUUAAAUAUCAAAAUAAUAAAUGCAUACAGAUUUUUAAAUUUACAAUAUUGUCGCUUGUAUCCAGGUAAAUUCAUUUUAAAAUUAUUUAAACUGUUGUGUAAAUUGUCAUUUUGGCAUCUUGAAAGAAUUUUUAAAUGUGAACAUCAAAAUGCUUUUAUUGAAUAGAAUCAUCUUUUGAAAACAAUGGAUGUCAAAGCACUGGCAUAAAAAAAAUCUAUUUGGUGGUGAAACAAUAUUUAUAUGUACUCCUUUUUUAUAUUGUAUUCUGAAAUUAUGAAGAAUUGAAUCUGUCCUAAUAACUUAAAGCUACAGCUGUGAUAAUUAGUAGACAACUUUUAUGCAUUUAUUUGUAAAUAUUGUGUUAGUAUGGCGUUCAUUAUCACUGAACUAGUAUAUAUUUGUUUAUAUAUAUUAUAGGAAGUUUAUUUUCUAUGGUAAACAUAGCUUUACAAUUUAUUUUUUAAUAAGGUCAAUGCAUGCAUUUGUCAGAUAAAAGUUAAUGAAUCUUUAUUUAUUAUUUAAUUGUACUUUCAUUGGUAGGAAACUGUAACAGUUAUAUGAAAUCUAGCCUACCUGGUGGUAGGUUGUUCUAUACAUCUAGUUUAUAAAUAAGCAAUAACUGGAGGUACCAAGAUGAAUUUAAAGGAUAAUGUGUAGUCUAUUUAUUCAUGCAUUGGCCAUUAAUUUGUUCUGUGAUAAAAGUUUAUCGACUAUAAUCAUUUUCACACAAUGAUUAAAUGGACAAUCAUUUUCAUAGCAAAAUAUGUUAGUUUUUUUACUGAAGAUUUUUUUAAUGUUAUUUAGAUUUUAAUGUUGUGUUUUUAUAUACCUUUUGCAUUUAGUUGAUCAAAAAUGUAUGCUUUGACUGUUCUAAUCUACACUUGUCAUGUUUUAAUAGGUGUAAUGAAAUAAGAUUAAACCAAUUUCUCUUGACUUUUCCCAUUUUUAAAGGCAUAAAAAAGAGACAACAUUUAGUGAUGCACAGAUAGAUAACAUGUUUGUAGUCACUAGGGGACACCUAAAUAUUGUCUUACAGCCUUUUGCAUUGAGUGUGUAGGUAAAGGUAAUAUCUUUGGUUAGGUAAACUAUCCUCCUUGAAGAGUAGACUUGUCCAACAGAUAACCAAUUUAUCUCUCUGUAGCUAUAUAUAGGCUACUUCAAAAAGAGGGUACUAUACCUAACAUAAUAAUGACUUCACGGUUCAGCUAGCAAGCAAGCUAAGCAAAGAUAUUACCUUUAUGUACACACUCAAUGCAAUGGGCUGUAAAUUAAUAAGAAAAUAGGUUACUAUGGUUUAAACUUGCAAUCAGAUUAUAGUUAAAAUAAAUGAUGUUCAAGGAUUUAGGAUUCUAGAAUUUUUUUCUGAGUAAUAUAUUUUUAUUAACCUUUAGAGGCCUAUGUGGCAGAGUGGUCUAUAAGUUAAACAAAUGCAUCACUAGCCUGUCUAAACUGAGGAAUUGAGUUCAAUUCCAGCAUGUGGCAAGUGCACUUGACUCCACUUUAAUUCAUAAGAAUUGUCAGUUUUCUUGGGGCACCUAGGCUUCCUCCACCAAAAAAAAAUUCCUGGCAUGAAAUAACACCAUAGUUUUGAAAGCAGCGUUAAACACCAAACAAUUAAUCGAGUUUACUCUUUAAAAUUUCAACCAUAGUUUCUGAAGGAAAGUAUAAUCUUCUGAGAGCAUAAAAUUCAAUUCAAUUUAAACUACUGCAAAAAGUGAUUGACAACCAUAAAUCCCUUAAACCCAGCAAAAAUACAUUAAUUUAUUCAAUUAUUUCAUUAAGUCUUAUUUAAAGACAUGAUAUUGGUGUCCCUUUUCUGACAAAAACUUGGGUUAAUCUGCUAUCUCAUUUUAAAGCUGUAACACCCCUGCUAUAAAUUCUAUAUAGAAAACUGAUUUAUUCCUCUGCAUAUAUAUCCAUUCUAGUUGCAUUUAUGAGUCUUGGUGGAAUUUUUUUUAGUAAAGAGAAAAAUAUGACAAUAAAUAAAGAAUAAACAGAAAAAUAAGGUUCUACAUGUAUAAAGAAUUGAGAAACAAAUGGCAUAUACUAAAAUGAAUAUCCCUAUCCAGACCCUCUUAUUUAUUGUUCUUAUUUUUUCAAAAGUUGAUAUAACAUUUAGAGCAAGAUAUGGUUUAUAUACUUCAAUUUUAAUGAAGUGCAGAUGUGAUUUUGAUAUCUGUUUUAGUAGGCUUUUAUAUUUUGUUAAGCAUUUGUUGUUUAAAGCAAGUUUAAUUUUAUAUUAACAAUUGAUUUUUAUUUUUUUUCUAUGCUCUUUAUUAUUUUUAUAAUUUUCCCAGUGAAUUAUGUAAACUAAUA